AGAACGAACGCUGGCGGCAUGCCUAACACAUGCAAGUCGAACGGGACCUUCGGGUCUAGUGGCGCACGGGUGCGUAACGCGUGGGGAUCUGCCCUUAGGUACGGAAUAACUCAGGGAAACUUGAGCUAAUACCGUAUAAUGACUUCGGUCCAAAGAUUUAUCGCCUAGGGAUGAACCCGCGUAGGAUUAGCUUGUUGGUGAGGUAAAGGCUCACCAAGGCGACGAUCCUUAGCUGGUCUGAGAGGAUGAUCAGCCACACUGGGACUGAGACACGGCCCAGACUCCUACGGGAGGCAGCAGUGGGGAAUAUUGGACAAUGGGCGAAAGCCUGAUCCAGCAAUGCCGCGUGAGUGAUGAAGGCCUUAGGGUUGUAAAGCUCUUUGCCCGGAUGAUAAUGACAGUACCGGAGAAUAAGCUCCGGCUAACUCCGCGCCAGCAGCCGC
Molecule: ribosomal RNA, 443 nt
Filed under: uncultured soil bacterium
Lineage: Bacteria
Description: bacterial SSU rRNA
Rfam family: Bacterial small subunit ribosomal RNA
Source: RNAcentral